ACUCCCCCUGGAAGAGGGGCACAAUUCUUGAGGCAUGAGCCUGCUGCGUCUUCCCUCCGCCGGCAGAAGAUUAAAACCACCUUUCUAUUUCCUGCAAACUCUGUCUCCGUGUUUUUUAUCUGGCUUCGGUGGGGAGAGAAUGCCAAGAUUUUGGCGGCAUCAAAGCCGGAUGUCCCAUCGAGGGGCCCCAGCUGAAAAGUGGUAAGAGAGAAACACACAGGAGCUGAAGACCAGGCACUGCAGAGCCACUUCUCCCCUUCAUCCUGGCGGGCAAGGUCUUCAGAGACCCCUGGCACCCAUCCCCCGCCAGAAACAGGAGGGGUUUGCGUGAGAUGAUCCCUGAAGGGCUCCCACCUCUGACCCCCAAGACCAUUGAGUUGAACCCCCUGGACUGUGUGCAGAAAAUGCAAGGAGAAGGAGGGAGCAAGCCAGAUUCCAGGAGGGCUUAUUUAGGAGUGAGCCCUGUGUCUGCCAACUACUCCUAUUUAGAGUCAGGGUACCGGAUCCGCAUUUUCAUCCGCUCACACUAAAACCUGAAACAUACCACACUGACCCUUAUGAGAUUCCAAUAAACCACACCUUCCCACCCUCUGCUUCCCCUGGUCCCCCAGGUCUGUCCUGCUCUCUCUUGAUUUCAUUCAGGUCUCUGCCCAGACGUCCCUCAGAGAGGUCUUUCCUGACCUCUUGAUCUAACAGGUGGUGCAGUGGUAAAGAAUCUGCCUCCCAAUGCAGGAGACGCACGUUCAAUCCCUGGGUAGGAAAGAUCCCCUGGAGGAGGAAAUGGCAACCCACUUCAGUACUCUUGCCUGGAGAAUCCCUUGGACAGAGAAGCCUGGCGGGCUUCAGUCCAUGGGGUCACAAAGAGUCGGACACGACUGAGCGACUGAGCACACAUUGUCUUCCUUUGCCCCGCUUGCUGCCUCAGAUGCUCAGGUGUUCUGCCCGAGACCCCAGGGAACCCACAUGCCUUGGAGCAACUGCUGAGCCAGUGGCCACAACUAGAGAGGAGAGGAACUUUGGACCCAGAUGUGUGCAGAAGGAAGACUACAAGAACCCACAGGGAGCAGCCAGCCAUCUAGAAGCCAAGGAGAUAGAUUCUCCUCCCCAGCCUGCUGACAGCUGGAUCUUGGACUUCGAAGCCUCCCAAACUGGAAAUGACACUUUCAGCUGGUGAAGCGUCCCCCAGUCUGCAGCCCUUCGUUACAGCAGCCUGACAACCAGUGCAGGGUGCUGGUCUCAGAGCCCAGCGGCUGGCUCUGCCCUCUCUGGCUGGUGCCUCCCACCUCGCAGUCCACCCAGUCUGGGGGCGGGGGCGGUCUCCACAAAGACAAGUUUGUGGUGAAGCCUCAGGUCACCCUGGGCUUCUCGGCUCCCUUAACUCUUGUCCGAGCAACAGGAAAUUCAGACCAGCUAGAGCUGGAAAAGCCUUGUGGGCACAUAAAUAAAGCAGCAUGGAGGUGCA
This is a long non-coding RNA of Bos indicus x Bos taurus (hybrid cattle), 1462 nucleotides long. The record is from Ensembl. Lineage: Eukaryota; Metazoa; Chordata; Mammalia; Artiodactyla; Bovidae.